CAUGCUUAACACGAUGCAAGUCGAACGAGACCUUCGGGUCUAGUGGCGGCACGGGUGCGUAACGCGUGGGAAUCUGCCCUUUGACUACGGAAUAACUCAGAGAAAUUUGUGCUAAUACCGUAUAAUGUCGUAAGACCAAAGAUUUAUCGGCAAAGGAUGAGCCCGCGUAAGAUUAGCUUGUGGUGAGGUAAAGGCUCACCAAGGCGACGAUCUUUAGCUGGUCUGAGAGGAUGAUCAGCCACACUGGGACUGAGACACGGCCCAGACUCCUACGGGAGGCAGCAGUGGGGAAUAUUGGACAAUGGGCGAAAGCCUGAUCCAGCAAUGCCGCGUGAGUGAUGAAGGCCUUAGGGUUGUAAAGCUCUUUUACCAGGGAUGAUAAUGACAGUACCUGGAGAAUAAGCUCCGGCUAACUCCGUG
This 420-nucleotide ribosomal RNA is filed under the name uncultured bacterium. RNAcentral's name for it is "bacterial SSU rRNA". It matches the Rfam family "Bacterial small subunit ribosomal RNA", at positions 43 to 507 of the family's 1533-position model. The record is from RNAcentral.